Molecule: ribosomal RNA, 427 nt
Filed under: uncultured bacterium
Lineage: Bacteria
Description: partial 16S ribosomal RNA
Rfam family: Bacterial small subunit ribosomal RNA
Source: RNAcentral
UGGGGAAUAUUGGACAAUGGGCGAAAGCCUGAUCCAGCCAUGCCGCGUGUGUGAAGAAGGUCUUCGGAUUGUAAAGCACUUUAAGUUGGGAGGAAGGGUUGUAGAUUAAUAUUCUGCAAUUUUGACGUUACCGACAGAAUAAGCACCGGCUAACUCUGUGCCAGCAGCCGCGGUAAUACAGAGGGUGCAAGCGUUAAUCGGAAUUACUGGGCGUAAAGCGCGCGUAGGUGGUUUGUUAAGUUGGAUGUGAAAUCCCCGGGCUCAACCUUGGAACUGCAUUCAAAACUGACUGACUAGAGUAUGGUAGAGGGUGGUGGAAUUUCCUGUGUAGCGGUGAAAUGCGUAGAUAUAGGAAGGAACACCAGUGGCGAAGGCGACCACCUGGACUAAUACUGACACUGAGGUGCGAAAGCGUGGGGAGCAAACA